Triticum aestivum (bread wheat) is the source of this 739-nucleotide long non-coding RNA. RefSeq lists it as uncharacterized. NCBI's taxonomy places the organism in Eukaryota, Viridiplantae, Streptophyta, Magnoliopsida, Poales, Poaceae. The transcript has 2 exons. The record is from RefSeq and is a predicted model, not a curated record.
UAACAAUACUCCUAAGUUCUAUUUUUGGUACUGCCGGUUUUGUAGGUAUGGAGAAUAAAGUAACCUCCAAUCGCAGCAGGAUCAAGCAAACGAAGAAUCCAAGAAAGAUAUCUUUAUUCCUUAUCAAACAGAAGGUUGGAUCUCUAGUUUAUCAAAAACACAAACUUAUCAGACCAAAGAAGUUGUUUAGGCUGUGUAUUCAUGAUGAGUUUGGCACAAGGGCAUUGAGCAAACCUGCGGUGAUACUUAGAGCAACCACACUACAUCAUGAAAUAAAGCUUCGCACAGCAAGGCGGAACAUCCUAUGGAUUUAUCGUGUGCACAAAGUUCGUACGUGGACAUCUUAUAAGGAAAAUAUUGAGGUGAUCAACAGACUGCACCACAUAUUUGACCAUGCAAUUCGUAGGUACACCGAGCACCGUUUGGAAGCUGGAUUGUUCUAUUUAGUCCGUGAUAUGGAUGGUUUUACGCACACGGUUCGUAGUCACCUCUACAGUGGCACUGGCAGUGAGUUCUUGAGAGAUUUGUGGAGAAAGAAGAGACUGGAGCGCAAGAUGAGACAAACUAACAAAGAGGUAUGCAACUGUUCUGCAAGUGCACAGAUAUCCAAUCUGUGUGAUAGAAAACUUUCCAGCAUUGUCACCAAGACAUUGAAAUUGUGUAGCAUGAGGCACAUAUUUUGCUUGUUACUUGUAAUUUUCUUGGCUUUCCUGAUAGUAUAUAUGUAAAUGAGUGUUAA